Molecule: long non-coding RNA, 248 nt
Filed under: Lepisosteus oculatus (spotted gar)
Lineage: Eukaryota; Metazoa; Chordata; Actinopteri; Semionotiformes; Lepisosteidae
Description: lncRNA (ENSLOCG00000023263.1)
Source: RNAcentral
UAACGACUCACCCAGAUCAUUUAGUUCUUUGAUUAGUAGAAGUUAGCCUGUUUUGUGAUCUUUUCUCAUUGACAUUUUAAAUCUUUCUAUAAAAUAUGCAGGAUUAUAACCCUCCGCAUCACCAGGAUCGCAGACCUCAUCUAUGAUACACAGGUGCAAUCUGGAUGCUGAUGAACAUACUUUGCCACCAGGGACAGGGGCUGGGGGUGCAGGAACAACUAUGCCAGAGGCACCACUGAGUCUCUGCG